AAGUUGGUGGCUGAGUGGUUAAUGUGAUUGACAACUGAUCCAUUGUGCUUUGCAUGCAUGGGUUCAAAUCCCAUUCUGCUGC
RNAcentral lists this transfer RNA (82 nucleotides) under Perca flavescens (yellow perch). RNAcentral's name for it is "tRNA-Ser". The record is from RNAcentral. Lineage: Eukaryota; Metazoa; Chordata; Actinopteri; Perciformes; Percidae.